RNAcentral lists this ribosomal RNA (497 nucleotides) under uncultured bacterium. RNAcentral's name for it is "partial 16S ribosomal RNA". It matches the Rfam family "Bacterial small subunit ribosomal RNA", at positions 28 to 507 of the family's 1533-position model. The record is from RNAcentral.
GAUGAACGCUGGCGGCGUGCCUAAUACAUGCAAGUCGAGCGAACAGACGAGGAGCUUGCUCCUCUGACGUUAGCCGCGGACGGGUGAGUCACACGUGGAUAACCUACCUAUAAGACUGGGAUAACUUCGGGAAACCGGAGCUAAUACCGUAUAAUAUAUUGAACCGCAUGGUUCAAUAGUGAAAGUCGGUGUUGCUGUCACUUAUAGAUGGAUCCGCGCCGCAUUAGCUAGUUGGUAAGGUAACGGCUUACCAAGGCAAGGAUGCGUAGCCAACCUGAUAGAUGGAACGGCGACACUGGACCUGAGACGCAGUCCAGACUACUACGGGAGGCACCAGUAGGGAAUCUGCCGCAAUAGGCGAAAGCAUGACGGAGCAAGGCGAAGCGAGAGAUGAAGAUGUUCGGAUCGGAAUACCCUGAUAUUAGGGAAAAACAAAUGUGUAAGUAAAUGUGCACGUCUUGACGGUACCUGAUAAGAAAGCAACGGCUAACUACGUG